AGUGAACGCUGGCGGUAGGCCUAACACAUGCAAGUCGAACGGCAGCACAGUAAGAGCUUGCUCUUACGGGUGGCGAGUGGCGGACGGGUGAGGAAUACAUCGGAAUCUACUUUUUCGUGGGGGAUAACGUAGGGAAACUUACGCUAAUACCGCAUACGACCUACGGGUGAAAGCAGGGGAUCUUCGGACCUUGCGCGAUUGAAUGAGCCGAUGUCGGAUUAGCUAGUUGGCGGGGUAAAGGCCCACCAAGGCGACGAUCCGUAGCUGGUCUGAGAGGAUGAUCACCCACACUGGAGCUGAGCCACGGUCCAGGCUCCUACGGGAGGCAGCAGUGGGGAAUAUUGGACAAUGGGCGCAAGCCUGAUCCAGCCAUACCACGUGGGUGAAGAAGGCCUUCGGGUUGUAAAGACCUUUUGUUGGGAAAGAAAAGCAGCAGGUUAAUACGCCGCUGUUGUGACGGUACCCAAAGAAUAAGCACCGGCUAACUUCGUG
RNAcentral lists this ribosomal RNA (492 nucleotides) under uncultured bacterium. RNAcentral's name for it is "partial 16S ribosomal RNA". It matches the Rfam family "Bacterial small subunit ribosomal RNA", at positions 29 to 507 of the family's 1533-position model. The record is from RNAcentral.